UUAAUAUUUGCACCCCCUUUAAUUUUAAAAGAAAUAUAAGUUAUAUGUUUCCGCUUUAUUGUUUAAAAAUUAGUGAUUCUACAGACUUAGAAAGCAUCGAUACUUUUCCUUAGAAAGGAGUAAAGUUUUAUUUCAAUAUUAGCACCUUCUUUAAUUUUGAAAUACAUAUAAUUGAUACGUUACCGCUAUAGCGUGAAAAUCGGUGAUUUUACAUAUCUUAGAGAACAUAGAUACUUUUCCUUAAAAGGGAGUGAACAGAAAAUAUGUUUCCCCUCUGACAGGGCAACAGUCAAACAGAAGACAGACAUCAAUCACCAUCACAUUAUUUGACCACUCAUAUUCAUUGCCUUAAUUUAUUUCAAAUCAAAUUAUUUUCAUACUGAACCCAUUAAAUGUGAUUGUAGAAAUAAAA
Non-coding RNA from Parasteatoda tepidariorum (common house spider), 412 nucleotides. Lineage: Eukaryota; Metazoa; Arthropoda; Arachnida; Araneae; Theridiidae. The record is from RefSeq and is a predicted model, not a curated record.